RNAcentral lists this ribosomal RNA (253 nucleotides) under uncultured bacterium. RNAcentral's name for it is "partial 16S ribosomal RNA". It matches the Rfam family "Bacterial small subunit ribosomal RNA", at positions 524 to 776 of the family's 1533-position model. The record is from RNAcentral.
UACGUAGGCAGCAAGCGUUGUUCGGAUUUACUGGGCGUAAAGGGUGUGUAGGCGGUUCUUUAAGUUUGGCGUGAAAUCUCCCGGCUUAACCGGGAGGGUGCGCCGAAUACUGAGGGACUCGAGUGCGGGAGAGGAAAGUGGAAUUCCUGGUGUAGCGGUGAAAUGCGUAGAUAUCAGGAGGAACACCGGUGGUGUAGACGGCUUUCUGGACCGUAACUGACGCUGAGACACGAAAGCGUGGGUAGCAAACAGG